RNAcentral lists this ribosomal RNA (254 nucleotides) under uncultured bacterium. RNAcentral describes it as "partial 16S ribosomal RNA". It matches the Rfam family "Bacterial small subunit ribosomal RNA", at positions 524 to 776 of the family's 1533-position model. The record is from RNAcentral.
UACGUAGGGGGCAAGCGUUAUCCGGAUUUACUGGGUGUAAAGGGAGCGCAGGUGGCAAGGCAAGCCAGAAGUGAAAACCCGGGGCUUAACCCCGCGGAUUGCUUUUGGAACUGUCUGGCUGGAGUGCAGGAGGGGCAGGCGGAAUUCCUGGUGUAGCGGUGAAAUGCGUAGAUAUCAGGAGGAACACCGGUGGCGAAGGCGGCCUGCUGGACUGUAACUGACGCUGAGGCUCGAAAGCGUGGGGAGCAAACAGG